Non-coding RNA from Podarcis lilfordi (Lilford's wall lizard), 185 nucleotides. The record is from the annotation of a GenBank genome assembly. Lineage: Eukaryota; Metazoa; Chordata; Lepidosauria; Squamata; Lacertidae.
CAUGGAAAGGACUGACAGGCUGAUAGCUCUUUCUUGAUACUGGGAAUGAUGGAGCAUUGCCAUUCAUAGGUGGCGGAGCGAUUUUGCCUGAUUAAUUUCAACAAUGAACAAGACUAUAGCAUGGUUAUGUAAACCCAGCUUAUGCUAGUAAUAAAACAACAACAACAAUUGAUUAUAUAUACUCC